CUCACUCUAGCUCAGUUGGUUAAAGCGCUGCACCGGAAUCGCAGUGCUGCAGAUUCGAUUCCUGCGAGAGCAC
Molecule: non-coding RNA, 73 nt
Organism: Paramuricea clavata
Lineage: Eukaryota; Metazoa; Cnidaria; Anthozoa; Malacalcyonacea; Plexauridae
Source: the annotation of a GenBank genome assembly